AUUGAACGCUGGCGGCAGGCCUAACACAUGCAAGUCGAACGGUAGCAGGAAGAAGCUUGCUUCUUUGCUGACGAGUGGCGGACGGGUGUGUAAUGUCUGGGAAACUGCCUGAUGGCGGGGGAUAACUACUGGAAACGGUAGCUAAUACCGCAUAACGUCUCAAGCCCAAAGAGCGGGACCUUCAGGCCUCUUGCCAUCGGAUUUGCCCAGAUGGGAUUAGCUAGUAGGUGGGGUAACGGCUCACCUAGGCGACGAUCCCUAGCUGGUCUGAGAGGAUGACCAGCCACACUGGAACUGAGACACGGUCCAGACUCCUACGGGAGGCAGCAGUGGGGAAUAUUGCACAAUGGGCGCAAGCCUGAUGCAGCCAUGCCGCGUGUAUGAAGAAGGCCUUCGGGUUGUAAAGUACUUUCAGCGGGGAGGAAGGGAGUAAAGUUAAUACCUUUGCUCAUUGACGUUACCCGCAGAAGAAGCACCGGCUAACUCCGUG
Molecule: ribosomal RNA, 490 nt
Filed under: uncultured bacterium
Lineage: Bacteria
Description: partial 16S ribosomal RNA
Rfam family: Bacterial small subunit ribosomal RNA
Source: RNAcentral